UAGUCCAUGCAGUAGGUGGAGGCCACUAACUGAGAGGGAUAUAUAAUAAGAUGGAGGGGCAAUCUUGGGUUGACUUGGAGAUGUCUAAAAAUUACAUAAUCACCACAAAUUAUGUAUGAAAUUAGAAUUGAAUGCACAAUUUUUAGUAUCGCGAAAAGCAAUUUUGGUAAAAGCAAGUGCACGAUGAUGUGUGGAGUUAAUACCAUGAAAAAUAUGAUUAUUUCGACAUGUCUAAAUCGCCCAAAGAAAAAUAACAACCCUGAGCUUCCACAAAAAAGAAAUAUGAGGACUAAUGAUUUAUUCAUUGUUUGAAUAAGAAACUCGUGAAUGCUCACACAAUUAAUAAGCUCAGAAGUCAAACCCAUUGAGAAAACUUUCCAGGCCUUCCGAAUAACCUCACAAGAACACAGAUUAUGAUCCAAGGAUUUAGCAUCAUCUAAACAAACAACACAACCAUUCAGACCAACAAUCCCAAACCUCUUAAGCUUACCAAAAUUGGGAAGACAAGAGUGCAUAACCCUUUGACACAAAAGGAAGCGACGCACCAGGAUAGAAUAAUCUCAUAGUCAAGAGCCCCAUUUGACUUGAAGUGCAUGAUGACAUAUGUUGGUCUCAAGCGAGUGCGUAUUGAUGUAUAGGAGAAGGGGGAAAGGGAGAG
This 658-nucleotide long non-coding RNA is filed under the name Salvia miltiorrhiza (redroot sage). RNAcentral describes it as "long non-coding RNA (SMIL_LNC005095)". The record is from RNAcentral. Lineage: Eukaryota; Viridiplantae; Streptophyta; Magnoliopsida; Lamiales; Lamiaceae.